This is a long non-coding RNA of Lactuca sativa (garden lettuce), 2064 nucleotides long. RefSeq lists it as uncharacterized. NCBI's taxonomy places the organism in Eukaryota, Viridiplantae, Streptophyta, Magnoliopsida, Asterales, Asteraceae. The record is from RefSeq and is a predicted model, not a curated record.
AAUCGGUAUUUUAGCGGAUUAGAACGAUUAAUAGGAGAUGCACUCUAUAUGACAUCUCCUCUCUCAGUUCGGUCAACAUGGUGUUGCUCUCCCAUAACCGAUCCCGAUGGGAAAACCCAUGAACCACCGAUGUAUCGUCUCUGAAAGAAUGCCACCGUGUAACCAUACAUUCGUCGUCGUUGAAUCAUUCUGAAUCAUUAAAGACUUCAUCUUUGUGAUUGAUUUCAGUUACCGAUAUAUUCAAGCAUUCACAUUUGAUUCACAAUACAUCAAGAGCACCAUCACUUCUUCUUAUUUUCUUCUUUCUUGGUCCGAUGAAGGUUGUGGUGUUGGUUCUUGAUGGCAUUGAGGUGUUCAUCGGUUGGAAAGGGGUGGUUCAGGAAGGUGGUCUCGGUGGUUUAAAGUGGUUGUAACAGGUUGAUAUUUUUAGUGGUGGAGGAUGGUGGUUAGCAGUGAUUAAGGUGUGCAUCUCUAAACCACUGUUAAUGCACCCCCCACCACCGCUACCACAACCACUAAGCAUCGUCGUCACCAAAUCAACAUCACCCACUCUAGCCCACUAGGUUCAGUAUUCUAGGAAGCCCAUGAUCGUUUUUGCUAUUGUUCCCCCUCCCCUGGUAAUGGAAUCCCUAUCUCUCGCUUUUUAAUAGAUCCAGUUGAAAUUCUCAAAAUUGUGUCUCAGCUUUGAAGAAGUUCAAAGAGAAGGCACCAUUGAUUUAUUCUUCAUUUAUGUAAGUUUUCCAUCCCUUUAACUAACUUCAAAGAUUUUGAACACAAACAUCAGUUUCCAUCGUUUUUAGUUACCUAUAGAUAUGUGGGUUGUCAUAAUCUGAUGAAAAUAGGUAUUUUUGAUUCAAUAUAGAUGUUCUUCAUAUAUAUAUUCUAUAUUGCACAUUAAUGGGGUUUUAAUUAUUUUUCAUUAGUGUUUAUUUAAUAUUAUUCAGGAUAUUUGAAAAUCUUUUGAGUACAUGAAUGAAUUUGAGGUUGGUUUUGGUUUUGAUUUCUAUUGUUUAAUAAUACAUGUUUUGAUGUUCGAUGUUUUAUUUGAUCUUUUUGCAGGGUUUAUUUGUUGCUUACUUGAUUUUUUGUGUUGAUUUAUUUUAUGUUAAUUAGUUGCUUCUCAGUUGAACAUAACAAAAAAAAAUUAUAUUUUCAGGUAAAAAGUUUAUCUUUAUUGACCAUAUUAAAAUAGUCUUCGUGUAAUCCACAUGUAAGUUUUUCUUUUAUAUUCUUUGCAUUCUUUGUGUUUUGGAUUAUGCUUCUAUUUGUUAAAGUUAUGUUAAUAACACUCUUGGCUCAAUCCUUGUUUUUUCUCAAAGUUUUGCUAUUAUAUAAGCAAGAAAUAGAAAAUCUCACCCUUUUAUGUGCAUGGGUAUUGUCUUUUAUCUUAAUGAUCAAUAUUCGAGAUGGAAUUGAUUGCUAAUUUUUCUUGCUAUUUGGUGUUGUUAUUUUGAUGAAGUCUCAGUUUGUUCCUGAUUGCUAAUUGGUGUUGCUAUUUUGUCGUUUAAUCCAAUUGUGCAAGUUUUGGGCUCUACUUACCCCACUUAGGCAUACUGGCCCAAACUUUUUACGUUUUGGUGCAAAAUUUGAAAUUGAGGGCAUUCCGGUAUUUCUCUGGUUACCAUCAAAUGUGAUAGUUUUGUGUAGGCCUGCAAAAUUAUCAUAACUCUGGUAGGCAGGAGAAAUAUAGGAGUUGGUGUGGUUAGAUGUUGUUUUAGUGCAUUCAACUUCUAAUAAUUACCUUCAUAUAUUUCUUUAGUACAAAAAUUUGAGUUUUCUUGCGAUAUCUCAAGGAUCUGUAUAUUCUUGCAAGAUCAAAAGUAGUGGUACCAAAAUGUUUGCAAUAUAGCAAUCUGGGACAAAGCUCCAACACAAAGGUGUAUCAAGUAUGAUCUGAUAUGCAUAUGUGUGUAUAGGAUUUGAUUUGUAUGUAUGUACACGUGUCAUCUGAUAUGUGUGUGUGUGAUUCCUAUAAAAGUUCCAAUUUUAAGCUUUUAUAAACUGUUAUAUUCACUUUUUUGUUGAUUCGAUAUUAGAAAGGAAUAAAAAAACAUAUUUGUACCA